AGAGUUUGAUCCUGGCUCAGGAUGAACGCUGGCGGCGUGCCUAAUACAUGCAAGUCGAACGAAGAGAUGAAGCUAAGCUUGCUUAGCAUCUGAUCUUAGUGGCGAACGGGUGAGUAAUACAUAAACAACCUGCCCCGAUGUCUGGGAUAACAGUUGGAAACGACUGCUAAUACCGGAUAAGUUACCUGAAGGCAUCUUCAGAAAACGAAAGAUGGGAUACAUCGCAACGGGAUGGAUUUAUGGCGCAUUAGUUAGUAGGUGAGGUAACGGCUCACCUAGACAAAGAUGCGUAGCCGGCCUGAGAGGGUGACCGGCCACACUGGGACUGAGACACGGCCCAGACUCCUACGGGAGGCAGCAGUAGGGAAUUUUCGGCAAUGGGGGAAACCCUGACCGAGCGACGCCGCGUGAGUGAAGAAGGCCUUCGGGUUGUAAAGCUCUGUUGUAAGGGAAGAAAUGUACGGAUAGGGAAUGAUCUGUGCUUGACGGUACCUUACCAGAAAGCCACGGCUAACUACGUGCCAGCAGCCGCGGUAAUACGUAGGUGGCAAGCGUUAUCCGGAAUUAUUGGGCGUAAAGGGAGCGCAGGCGGCUUAUUAAGUCUGAGGUUAAAGUUCGGGGCUCAACCCCGUGAUGCCUUAGAAACUGGUAGGCUAGAGUGCAGGAGAGGUGAGUGGAAUUCCAUGUGUAGCGGUAAAAUGCGUAGAUAUAUGGAGGAACACCAGUGGCGAAGGCGGCUCACUGGCCUGUAACUGACGCUGAGGCUCGAAAGCGUGGGGAGCAAAUAGGAUUAGAUACCCUAGUAGUCCACGCCGUA
Molecule: ribosomal RNA, 817 nt
Filed under: uncultured bacterium
Lineage: Bacteria
Description: bacterial SSU rRNA
Rfam family: Bacterial small subunit ribosomal RNA
Source: RNAcentral